AUGCUUUUUAAAACGUUAAAAUUAAUCCAACUACUACUUCUCAUUUAUGAAUAUAUAAAUAUUCAAUGUUUUAAAAUGACGGAAUCCGAAAGUCACUCUUCAAUGGUUGAAUAAAUAUUUGACAGUAGUCCGUACUCCGUAGCUUGCAUCUCUUUCAAAUACCUCAUUUUCUGCAAAUUAAAUAAACAUAGAUUACCAGCACCAAAAGUCCCCUAGAUCUUCACGAAAACACCUAGGACACAAAUAUAAUUAGAAUACCUAAGAUUACCUAAUUAAUUCAAUUAAUGCCAGACCAGUAUUUUUUAAAUCACGCUUGACCGUGGCCUAAUCAUUAAAUUUGAGGAAACAUGCAAAUCAAACAGACUAAUACAGAGAUUAAAGUUGAAGGUUCUCAGCUACAAAGUAAAAGACUUAUAACUAAAGUUUCUGCAGAUCAACAAUAACAAAUAACACAUCUUUUAUUUAGCUGUCGCACUCUGCUUAGUUGAUAACAUGAAUCAGACAUAGAAGAGACAAAGCAUGUUGACUAACAUGAAAUCGUAUAAAUUUACAAUUGUACCAUCAUAAGGGAAUGAGACCAAAUGUAAAAGAUAUAAGAAAUAAUUGGUGACUUCCCCAACAGCCUAUUUUACAUACCAGUGUGUAAUAUUAUGAUCAGGUGAAAGCUUGUAUAUAACUUUUCUUGCAUGGAAACAAUUUGUUCCCCUGUACAUUGGCCCUUGAAUUCCUGCCAGUCGAUGACCUAUAAACUAUACAGUUUAUGCAAAAAUAAUUAAUAAUUUAAGUCCAGGUGAAGGCAUGUGUGUAUGAGAGCUUAUAUUCUUAUAAUUGACCAUAAUGCAAAUAAUGCAAAAAAGAGUAUAAUAAAUAAAUGAUCCGAGUUUCCGAUCACUAAGAACUCCCGCCCACCCUCACACACAUAAAUGAAACACAGGGACUAAAAUCCAAACAAAUAGAUAAAAUGUCAUAUUUAAAACUCUUCAUACAUUAUAUCCAUCCAUCCAAAAUCGAUAAAACGUCAUAUUUUAAACCUCCAAAAUGGGAAAUACACAUUACUAUCAAGUACACACACAUACAUUAUAUCCAUCCAAAAUCGAAGCCAAUUUUGCCUACAUUCAUAUUCAAAUAUACACAUAUUGCACCCUGGCAAAACUGACGUCAUUAUUGGCAAGACUCGAACAAAUACCCCCUAUGUAGGUACUGAAAAUAAGUGAUUAAAAAUUUUGCAUAUAGUUGUUAAUACACUAUAUUACUCACAAAUAGUGUGUUUAUCUAAACUCGUGCAUUGUCAAAUCUAUUGAUUUGCUACAAAUCAGAAUGAUAUAGGGAAGUAGAAUUGAUUUUGGAACCAAAGGGCGUAGAGCACCAUUUACAAAGAUUCUGUCAUGAUAUAUAUAUAUUCUUCAAAUUUAUAUAUAUAUAUAUAUAUGUGUGUGUGUGUGUGUGUGUGUGUGUGUGUGUGUGUGUGUGUGUGUUACAACUCUAUAUAUAUAAAGGGGGAGGGUUCUGGUACAAACUUACAAACUUUUUUUGUUCAACAUAUAUAUAACUGGAGUUCAACAUUUUUUUAACAUAUCUUGUUGAACAUCGACUAAAAUAGUGGUGGAGAAGUACAUAAACAAAUUUUUAAAUGUAAGAACUAAGGUAAACAUGUUAUAUAACUAAUAUUUAUGUUUCUAGACCCUACCCAAACCCUAGAGGUAUAGUUUAAACAUCUUUUUAGAUAUAUUCAACACAAUGAUAAUUAGUGUUCAACACCCGAUGUUGAACCCCAGUUAUAAAUGUGUUGAAAACGCGAUUUAUUUAUGCGUUAUUUUUAAAAAUUGUGAUGUUUUUUGAAGAAUUUUCAACAUGGAUACUUUAUAUAACUAAGGAUUAACACGAUGGGAGAAUAAAAAAAAGUUUGUAAGUUUGUAACUAAAAAAAGUUUUUAUUUGAUCCUAUCCCUAUAUAUAUAUAUAUAUAUAUAUAAAUAUAUAUAUAUAUGUCUGCAAGUCUAUAACUAAAAAUAAAAAACAGACACUUCAGAUAAAAUAGUGGAGCAGCAUUGUUUGCUAGGAUAAGCUAAUAUUUCGAUUGAAAGUUUAAAAAAAGCUUGCAAUCAUCACACUAAUAAUGAGAUGCAUUACAAUAUGUCAAAAAACUUGCCUUGAAGAAUCCCUCCACUUAUCACUUAUUGUGGCUCCAUUACUACAACCUGGAAACAACAAUGCAUUGUAAUAUAAAAUAACAAUCAUAACUAAUCUACUACAUAAAUCUAUAUAUACUUGGACAAUAUUCUCAUAUGAAGACUAAAUCGUUAAUAAAAAUUUCAAAAUCAUACAAAAACACACUAAUAUAAUGAAAAAUCAUAUCAAAUCAUUCCACAAUUAUAUAUAACUAAAAUAAAUCUAAAGAUCAAUAUCAUAUCAAGCUCUUAUAUCAAAUACUUGAUGAGUAAACUAACCUCGCAAAACAUUAAAUCUGCAAAAAGACAGAAACUUGUGUUUGGACUUUUAUCAAACACUUCCCGUGCUAAUAAAAUUAAGAGAUUCACCUAAAAGUUCCACAAAUAUAGAAAUGGGGAAAGACAUUGAGGAGAAGAAUAUACCUUCUCAUGAUUGCAAAAGAGGCUGACAAUCACUAAAUUAAUCUAUAGAAGUAGCGGUAAUCUCUUCUUUCUCGAUGAUGAGAUCGCGACAAAGCCCAUGAAAGUGUGUUAACUGAUGUGCUCAAAAUAUGAUUUUAAUCGCAAGUGCACGAUCCCGUUUUAGUAAUAUAAGAUUCGUUCCAAGGACUAAAUUUAUUUUCGCGAAAACUUAAUUUCUAAUUUAAUCGAAUUAGACAAAAGAUUUUUGGAGAGGUUUUGAUUUAUCUAAAUUAAAACUAAAAGCUAAUGCCUAAAAUCUAAAUUAUAAAUUCAUGAUUAAUAUCUACUAAAGAAAAUGACUAAUCGACAAUUAACUAGUUACAACGGGAAUAACGAUUAAUAUCUAUAACCAAAACAAAAAAAUAAAUUAUAAAACAAAAAUAAAAUAAAAUAAAACAGUACGCGUGCGUGAAUGAAAACAAUACAGUGAAUAAGUUAAGUUUAUCUUAGUGUGAACACGCGUAAAACUAAAACGAUAAACAGAAACAGAGAAAAAGGGGCGGCGCUGGUGGCGGACAAGAAAGUAUAACCCCGCCGGAAUUUAUGAGAGUGCCCGGGAUAGCUUAAAUCUCGCCGGAAAAUUAAUUUUACUGGAAAAUCUAGCUAUUCCAACUAUAACAAAUAAAAACCCACUAAACUCUAAACCAAAUUUAACAAUAAAUUCUACACUAAAUAGUCUCUAAACUACCCAUUUUUUUACAAAACAAGACCCAAAUCAAACCAAAUCAACUCUAAACUACACCAAAUUUCAAAUCUAGCCUAAACAUAAUAUUUUCAACAUAAACCCACUAACCUCAAGUCAAAAUCAUAAACUAAAAUUUACACCCAAAAGCCCCAAAAUCAAGAACAAAGAGAACACCAAAUCUUACCAAACUAACUCCAAAUCACACAAAACUUCAAAACUAGCUUAUCUACCAAGUCUCUAACAAAACCCCAUCAAACUACAAGCUAAAAUCAAAAUCCAGAAUACUAAACCAUUGAACCCACUAAUAAUAUUGAGAAUUAAAAGGGGCUCAAUCUAAAUACUAAAAAAUGCAAGCGUAAAACAUAUAAUUAGGCUCCUUUCAAUCCACAAGUAAUUUUGAGUCUCAUGUGGUUAGAGAAAGAUUUCAUAGCCUAGAAGUAAAAGUAAAGAGCAAGAUUUAAGAACAAAAAUGAAUACUUGUAUUGAUAUAAUAAAAGUGUUUACAAAUUUAGAGUGCUACUACUAGAUCUACUACAUAAAAAAGAGGCUACUAAAAAUAUGAAAUCCUAGGUAGGUUGAAACAUGAUGGGGAGGUGUGUAUUUAUAAGGGGAAAUUAGGGUAGAGGGGGGGUGUAGGUGUCCCAUCUAGAUGCUUCCUUGAGAAUAUUCCCCUAUGAUCCUUUUCUUCCAUCUUUUUCUCUUUUUUGC
RNAcentral lists this long non-coding RNA (4022 nucleotides) under Daucus carota (carrot). RNAcentral's name for it is "long non-coding RNA (DCAR_LNC000086)". Lineage: Eukaryota; Viridiplantae; Streptophyta; Magnoliopsida; Apiales; Apiaceae. The record is from RNAcentral.